GACGAACGCUGGCGGCGUGCUUAACACAUGCAAGUCGAACGGUGAAGCGCCUUCCUUUUUGGAGGGUGUGGAUGAGUGGCGAACGGGUGAGUAACACGUGAGUAACCUGCCCCCUUCUUCUGGAUAACCGCAGGAAAGUGUGGCUAAUACGGGAUAUUCGGGGUCUGUCGCAUGAUGGGUCUGGGACAGAUAUUGUUUCGGUGGGGGAUGGGCUCGCGGCCGAUCAGCUUGUGGGUGUGGUGGUGGCCUACCAAGGCGGUGACGGGUAGCCGGCCUGCGAGGGUGGGCGGUCACACGGGGACUGAGGCACGGCGCCGCGGCCCACGGGAGGCAGCAGUGGGGAAGAGGGGACAAUGGGCGAAAGGCCGAUGGCGCGACGCCGCGAGAGCGAGGGAGGCCUGAGGGCUGUGAGCCUCUUUCGCUAGUGAAGCAGGCCUGCCUCGUCUGUGGGUGUGUUGACGGUAGCUGGAGAAGAAGCGCCGGCUAACUACGUG
This 494-nucleotide ribosomal RNA is filed under the name uncultured bacterium. Its description in RNAcentral is "partial 16S ribosomal RNA". It matches the Rfam family "Bacterial small subunit ribosomal RNA", at positions 28 to 507 of the family's 1533-position model. The record is from RNAcentral.